CCCAAAAUGACUUGUUUUGUCAAAUCUUCACAAAUAAUUGUUUCUUUGUCUAAAAGGGUAUAUAAACAGCCUGCUUGAGCAUCAUAUUGUUAUGAUCUCCCAUACAUACAGAUUAAAUUGUUUUUCUCCUAUUAAUGUCUUGUGUUAAUUUUAUGAUUAGUCCAGCUGCAAGAACUCAAGAGGAGUAAGGGGAAAAUUUCUCCCUCCUCAUCAGUUUUUGAAAGAAAGCCAGUGGAAUCACUGCUUGGAAAACUUCUUUCCCCUGGGACUACUGAAGAGGAAGAGAUCCUGGGAUGUCUGAGAGAAGCUGGGAGAAGAUUUAAGGGAAAUUUUUUUUUCUCUUAAGCUACCUAUGACUUAGAGCAAUUUGGUAAAGAAUGCUUUUGUGAACAAAGAUAAAACAAUUACUUUUUGUCCCUGCCUGAUUCCUCCAGAAUUCAGAAACUCUCAGUGAGUAUUCUUAGUUUCAUGGCAAUGUAGUUGUUUUCCAAGGGUUCAUUUAGAAUCUGUUCUUGUAACAGGAUACAAUUGAAAACAUUGGUUAUGUUACCAAGUCUUUCACUAUAAUGUCGUAUUUAAGAACGAUACACAUAGACUUGGAUAUGACAAGACAGCUUUUAGGAACUAAGGUUAAUUUUAUGGAGCCAAUGAAGCCCCUUGGAAAUAUCGGCCUGAUUCCUUGCUUACAAGGUUCUCAGAAGCCUAACCAGGUGAGUAGGCAAGGUCACUUCUUGGCAGAUGCAGAAACCUCAGGAUAUUUGGGAACUUUGAGAAGAGAGGAAUUCACCCAAAUAUAUAGGUAUUAUUGGCAAAGUCUGAUGGUGAUUCCUUGGCUUGGCUUCUUAGCCUUGACAAGUUUUCAAAAGUUCAAUCUGAUACUCCUUUUGAAAAAUUCCAGCAAAGCAGAUUUAAAAGAGCCUAUAUGGUCGAUGGUUAUUCUUACUGCACUUAUGCAAAUAAUCAGGCCAAGUUUAUUGAUGCUAGACUUAUUCUGCAAACAGGUGAGUCUUAAUUUGGCUAUCUUUGGUAGAAAUGAGGGUGAUUUUAGAAAGAAAAAUUAUAUUUCAGUAGAACGUAUAACACAUACUUGUGGAUCUUAGAUUCUAGCAUUGUUCAUUGUCUGAGAUUUUGGAGUGGAUCCUGAGUGCUCCUAGUUUCCUCCUAUCUGGCUACCACUCCCCAAGCUAACAUUUCCAAUUUUCUUUCACCUUUUUGACUUGGAAUCACUAAGAACAAAACCUGUCCUUUUUACUCAAAACCCUGCAAACUGAAUAUGAAUGGCUUGAGAUAAACCAGAGAAAUUGCCAGAAUAGCUCAUGUUAAUACAAUCUUCAUGCCUGUUGCUAUAUGGGCCAUUCUGAAAGCUUGCUGGUACAUUCAGUGACAUCAUCAGAGACAUUCAAACUGCAAACCAGGAAAAUCUGUCAGAUUGUCACGGCCUGCCCUCACUCCAUCUGAAGAUGCUUCGAGUCUGAUAUCCAGAAAUCUUCUCGACUGUCUACCCUCAGAACUCAGAAACUGGGAUUAUAGUCUACUCCAAUCAUUAACCAUUGUUUUUGUUUUGUUUCUCUAGAAACGCCUUUUAUCAAAUACCUGAUUGCUUGUGCAAUGUAGUCCUAACUUUGGGAGCCCAUCUGCAUCAUUGCCUCCUAAAAUGAGUUCAACCCAGCUGACCUAUUCUCAGGACUAAGAAACUGGUUCGAUGAAAUAGUGGAGCAAUCUACCACCUCAAUUUCAACAUGUGAAACUUCCAAGGAAGUUCCAGAGGAGAGAACUAAUAGAGUUCAUGGUAGGCCAUCCCAAAAUAUGACACUUUGGCAUAUUGGUUAUUUUGAAUUAAAGUUACUUGAGAAACAGCCAGUGCAAGAAGAACACUCUGACCCUCCUUUGUUCCCCUGAAACCAGGAAACAAACACCCAUGGGAAAGUAUUCUCCCUAUAUCAGGAGGAUGGAGGGCAUCCUUAUCACCCGAGAUAGGGAACUCGGAGCAGAGGAAGCUAUAUAAGUAAAUUUUGUUACCUCCUCAUUAAUUUGCUACUCCAAGCCCAAACUCCCUUAUUUUGUCAAAUAUUCACCAAUAAUUGUUUCUUUGUCUAAAUGGUAUAUAAACAGCCUGCUUUGGUCAUUUCCUUGAGCACUCUAUUGUUAUGAUCUCCCAUAUGUAUGUAUUAAAUUGGUUUUCUUCUCAUUAUUCUACCUUGUAUUAAUUUUAUUAUUAGUCCAACCAUAAGAACUCUAGGGGUAAGGGGAAUACUUCCUCCCUACCCCCCGCUA
This 2274-nucleotide long non-coding RNA is filed under the name Equus caballus (horse). Its description in RNAcentral is "lncRNA (ENSECAG00000051593.1)". The record is from RNAcentral. Lineage: Eukaryota; Metazoa; Chordata; Mammalia; Perissodactyla; Equidae.